This 403-nucleotide ribosomal RNA is filed under the name uncultured microorganism. RNAcentral's name for it is "bacterial SSU rRNA". It matches the Rfam family "Bacterial small subunit ribosomal RNA", at positions 9 to 416 of the family's 1533-position model. The record is from RNAcentral.
GAGUUUGAUCCUGGCUCAGAUUGAACGCUGGCGGCAUGCCUUACACAUGCAAGUCGAACGGUAACAGGUCUUCGGAUGCUGACGAGUGGCGAACGGGUGAGUAAUACAUCGGAACGUGCCCGAUCGUGGGGGAUAACGAAGCGAAAGCUUUGCUAAUACCGCAUAAGAUCUACGGAUGAAAGCAGGGGACCGCAAGGCCUUGCGCGAACGGAGCGGCCGAUGGCAGAUUAGGUAGUUGGUGGGAUAAAAGCUUACCAAGCCGACGAUCUGUAGCUGGUCUGAGAGGACGACCAGCCACACUGGGACUGAGACACGGCCCAGACUCCUACGGGAGGCAGCAGUGGGGAAUUUUGGACAAUGGGCGAAAGCCUGAUCCAGCCAUGCCGCGUGCAGGAUGAAGGCC